Molecule: long non-coding RNA, 940 nt
Organism: Cavia porcellus (domestic guinea pig)
Lineage: Eukaryota; Metazoa; Chordata; Mammalia; Rodentia; Caviidae
Exons: 4
Source: RefSeq, a predicted model, not a curated record
UUUGUUUUUGUUUUUGUUUUGUUUUUUUUUUUAGUAUAAUUCCAAGAAAACCAACAGUUCUGGGACUGUAAACAUUCUCUCAGGUAGACUUGGUGACCAAAACUUUACAUAUCACUUAGGAUCAGGAGCAGAAUUAUCUACAGUGUUAGAAUUCUAGCGGUGACAUAACAAACACCACCGAGUGUGUGGCCUGAACAGCGGAAGUUCAUUUUCUCACAAUAAGUCGUGCAAACUGAGGCCAGCUCCAGGCUUCCAGUGAGUGACCAGGACUGUGAGAAACCUGUUCAGUGACAACCACUGAAAGAAGCAAGUAGAGGGAGCACGUGUCACACCCAUCAUAUCUCUAGAGCGGUCCUGGGCUCCAGUUCUUCAAAUAACUACACAGGGUGUAGAAGCAGAGCAUGAAGGUGAGAUCUUGACCUCAUAUAAGGACAAAAUAGAAACAGUUUCAAGCUGGAACUCGAGGAAAUAACAGAGAACAGAACACACAAGAAAGCACAGUGAGAGCUGGAGUUCUCAGAAGGCCUUCCCCAGACAGAAGACGACUUCGUGCCUGCCCUUGGGAAGCAGUGGUCAUCUCAUAACUCCCAGAGGAAGCACAGACUCACAGGCUGCCUGCAACCCGAGAAUCCCCAGGAGAACGUGCAGGAGGGUCUCCAUGUCUCCACUCUGCAGCAGAGAUGCUCAAUCUGAUUAUGCUGAGAGGCUUCCCCAGGAGGAAUUCCUUGAGCUCAUUGGUCCAGGGCGCUGCACCAAACAGAGCUCUCCUGAGUGCCUGCUAUCAGUGCUCCUUAAUCUCACUGACACUUUCUAGCUAAACAGCGCCACCCUUUGGCUAAGUAGAGAAGUGUUGAGUAAUGGAUGACUUUUCUGGGAGGUAUCAUCUAUUUAGUGUGAUACAUCAUUCAACUUAUUAUGAAAGUAAAAAUCAUUCAGUUUA